CUGCCAUUAGAGUAACUGUUUAAGCAGAUUUAAGGGCAGUCCCAUGACGUUUGUGGCACUGGUCUGAAGACUAGGGGACCCCUGAGUGGCAUGUGACCUUGGACAAGCCACUCCUUUUCCGGACUUCGGUUUCCCGCCUCAAAAUAAAUGGAGAGAUUGAUCUACACUCGCCCUUCCAGCUUCGCACUCCUCGGCGCGGGGCUGGGCAGAGACCCUUGCCGGGCUCCCAGCCUCCCUCUCCGGAAAUGUGAUAAGAAGACGGACUCCGGGGCCUAGAAAACCUGGACUUGGCCCUUGGCGGACAGCGGUGGACACAGCCGGCAGGGCAAAUUUGGAGCGGAGGGAUCGGCGGUCCGCGCGCAGGAUCUGCUGGGAGUUGUAGUCCGUAUCCUGCCUUGGAGCCAGCUGCGCCUCCCUUUCUUGGUGGCUCUUUGGUUUGGGCCCCGCUGGGCUGCCAGUUGCGAGGCGGCCCCGUUCAUCUUAGGGGGAAACCUCUUCUCUUCUGCCCGGCCAACCCACGGGCCUGGGUUUGUCACUGCCCCGGGACGCCAUAGCCUGAUCGAGAAUUGCCCCUUGAGUUAGAAGAUGGAGGAGGGACCUGAAAAAAGUGGUCUCUCGACAGCGAGGGCGGGGGAGGGCCUCGUCGGCCUCUCCUCAGUGUCUCCAGCGCCUAGUGAGUGGUCUUUUGAAUGACUGAAGGGUUGGUGAGGCAAGGUUUAUUGGGGGACACCCGUCCAUCUCUUCUUGAUCGCUAAACGAGGCUUGACCUGGGCUGAAAGAAAUGCAGUAAGGAGCCACUUUCUCAGCUUCCUGGGAACUGGGACCCUGGAACCCAGUAAAGACUGUUAUUCCAGACUUAGGAAUGGCCUGAGCAUAAGCCUGAAGGCGUGGAGCUGGUCUCGAGGCUUACCCUUCCGCUUCACCAAAAACACCUUCUCCAAGAGCCAGAGUGAUCAUUUGAAAAGAUCAUCCAGAUUUGAACUGAGGGGCAUUGCUGGCUUGAAAAUGAUCCAAGAACAAAAGAAACACCUCUCAAAGGUCAUCCACCAAACAAACAAAAACUGAGAAACACUCUCUGUUGUUGUUGUUUUCUCCUCAGGAGUGAAUCUGGGCUCUAACUUUGGAUUUUCAGUAAGUCAUAUCCUAUCUAUGUAAAGCCUUCCAUUUUCCCCUCCUAUGUUUUGAUUCAUCUGAUCUGUAACCCUUUACAUCCAAUUAACCACUCAUGUCUAUGACUUUUCCGUUUGCCAUGUUGUAAUUCUCAGACUGUCCUGAAUUGAAUUAUUAGGAAGUGCAGGCCUUGGAAAUGAGGCCACGAUAAAAGGAAAAUACUCUUGAGUUCCCUUAUUUCCCUUAUGAAAUAAAGCAAAUUUAAGCAGUA
Delphinapterus leucas (beluga whale) is the source of this 1381-nucleotide non-coding RNA. The record is from RefSeq and is a predicted model, not a curated record. NCBI's taxonomy places the organism in Eukaryota, Metazoa, Chordata, Mammalia, Artiodactyla, Monodontidae.